RNAcentral lists this long non-coding RNA (2237 nucleotides) under Drosophila guanche. Lineage: Eukaryota; Metazoa; Arthropoda; Insecta; Diptera; Drosophilidae. The record is from RNAcentral.
AUGCUUUGUCUGGUAAUCAUCAAACCUCCUCUUAUCGAGGGUACCAAAAAAAAGAGCAUGGAGUGAAGAAAAAUCAACGAGGGACUUGGAGCAACAGCAGCAGCAGUGGGAGGGGGUUGUGGCGGGGCUGUAGGGGGGCGCUUGCCGGCAGAUACUUUGAGAUUUUUUUCUCCUCCCUCCCCCUGCAGCUGCCGACCCCGCUCCAACCCUUUGCACCAUCCACUCUCCAGAGUUGUUGUUUUCAUGCAUUUUAUCAGUCGACGCUGACGAUUUUCUUGGCGUUUUUAUUUGUAUUAUUUUCCACUGCCUCUCUGGCCCCCCACUCCCUCUCUCUUUCUCCCUCUCUCGCACUCUCUGGGUCUUUCUUCGUUUCUUUUUGGUAUUUUGUUUUUUUUUUAUUUGGGUUCGUUUUUGUUGUUGUAUUUUUUUGGUGUGCGGUUGGGUUCGGGUUCGGGUUAGCGUUCAGGCGGCUCUCGGUAUGGUUCGGGGCAAAUGUAUCUGUAUCUGUAGCUAUAGUAUCUGUAUCUGGCCUGGCCCGGCCUGGCUAUGUUGUUGCUGUAUCUCUUUUGUAUCUUUUAGCGCUGUUUUGAGUUAAGCAAUUGAUGGAUAUGGUUUAUUUAUAACGCUUGGCGACCGACACCGAAACCGAGGCACAACCGAGACCGAAGUUGAGCGAAGGAAACGCGUCGCCGAAUAUCAUCAUCAUCAUCAUCGACAUCAUCAUCAUCAUCUUGGAAUGCCGACGACGAGUGCGGCGGCCGUGUAUCUGUAAGAUACUCACUCGCUCGUUGAAUAUCUGACGGCUGCGGCUGCGGCGGCGGCGGCGGCGUUCGAUAAACGCGAGCGUAAUAAUAUUUUAUUGAAAUUUGUUUUCUUUUUUCUCUGUUUUUUCUCUCCUCGUUUUUGUUUUUGCGAGGAGGGGGUGUCUGCAUCUGUAUCUUUAGCCCAGUACCUGCAGCUGUAUCUGUUCCGCUGUGUGUGCGCGCGUAUCUGCAGCUGUAUCUGCAUCUGCAUCGGCAUUGGCAUCGGAAGAGUGUGUGUGUGCCACAACUGAAGUCGAGUGCAACGCAUUUUGAUUGUUCGCCUGCUCUUUUGAUGAAAACAUAAAUAUCCCAACAAAGAGAAAGACAGGGACAGAGACAGACAGAGAGAACCUCAAGAGAUCCCAGAAGUGGAGGAAGCAUUCAUUGGAAUUUCCCCCUCACCACAACUCUCUUUUCCUCAGCAGCAACAACUCGAUUCCCCGGUUCUUGUCUUUCGGAAUGAAUGAAAAUGCUGCCACUUCUGCCACAACUUCUCUCGCUCUCUGGGGCGGAAUUCUGUUCGGUUUUCCAUGCUCAUGUUGUUGUGGUGUUUAUAGGGGUUUUCCUUCGUGUUUCGUGUUCCUGUAAAUUGAUAUGGCCAUGGCGGAUUACCACGAGAGUGGCAGGGCGGGUACGCAACGACUUCUCUCUAUUAAUAAGCCUAAUUAAAGCCCAUGAAAAAACAGUAACAUUAAUCUGCUGGAUCUCUUCUUGCAUGUCCAUGAAAAGUGAAUUUGUUCGCCUUUAAAAUUGAGAUUUUAAGAUGAUAUUUUAAGCUGAUAUUCAGUGUGUCAUAACAAGUUGAUAUGCGAGAAGAUACCUUCCGUGAAAAUGGAGUGUUUUGCGAUCUAUUGAUUGUCAUUUUAAUCGAAUUAAAUUGAUUUUAAAGUCAGGGGCGAUGUUUGUAUGUCACUGGGGAAUUGAUUCCCUUCUCAGUUCUCUUCCAUAUCUUCCCCAAAAGGGCACAAGGACUGAGGUCUCCAGCCAUCAAACUAUAAACAUGUUCAGUACCAACAAAAAUGAUUGGAAAUUAUCCUAAAAAUAAAACACAAAUUCAAGAGAGGCAAAGAGAGAGGAAAUCACUUCCUCCUUCCCUCAUCCUGUGCCCCAUCUUCCCCUCUUCCGUUCCUCGUUUCCCUCUUUUAUAGCCCACUUCCCCUUCACCUUCGCCCAUUCUCUCGUUCCUCCCUUCGCAUAACUUAAUAAUUAUUCAUGCAGUUGCCCCCCAAACUACAACAAUUGCAACAAAAGUGGAUGCCACAUGCCCACGCUUCAACAAGAACAACAACAACAACUCAUGGAACAACGAUCCACAACAAACAAAACAGCAACAACAUCGAAAAAGUGCGUUGUAUGUACAUACAUAAACGAAAUCGAAACGAAACGAAUAAUAAAUGAAUGCCACAACACCAACAAAGCAGGGAAUCCAUAAAC